UAAUUUUAUUUCAUCUUCCCAAAAUUUAUUCUAACUUUUUCUGUUAACUUGUCCAACACCUUAACAUUCAUGGCAUACCCAAUGAAAGAGACCCAAAAGUCUUGUUGAUACUCGUAUUUACAUAAAAAGCCCAAGCAGGCGGCAUUAACGAAAACGUUGGCUUCGAAUCGGACUUCCAAUGUCCACCAACCACCAUUCCGAGAAGAGAACUUUCAAAGCGGACGAUCGUGUGUAAAAAGAAAGUAGCAAAGUGGUUGUGCUCUUUCUCCGACUUCUCUUUUUGUCUCGUUUAUUUGUGGAGAAAAGACUUGGAAGGCAGCAAACCUGACGUGUACAAAGCAAAGCGCAGGCGUAAAGAAUUCAGCAAGAGAGUCUUCGUACACUGAUAAAAAAGAUGACUGUUGAAUGCGAAAUUUUAUAUUUCCUAUAGAAAUGAAAUACAAAAUUAUAUGUAAUAAUA
This is a long non-coding RNA of Drosophila gunungcola (fruit fly), 460 nucleotides long. RefSeq lists it as uncharacterized. The record is from RefSeq and is a predicted model, not a curated record. The transcript has 2 exons. NCBI's taxonomy places the organism in Eukaryota, Metazoa, Arthropoda, Insecta, Diptera, Drosophilidae.